Long non-coding RNA from Oreochromis aureus, 556 nucleotides. RefSeq lists it as uncharacterized. Lineage: Eukaryota; Metazoa; Chordata; Actinopteri; Cichliformes; Cichlidae. The record is from RefSeq and is a predicted model, not a curated record. The transcript is spliced from 5 exons.
AUGACACCGUUAGCCAGCAGUGUGUCUCCUGAAAAGAGAGCUGAUUAGAGAGGCAGUUUUGAAUUUAGGAGUGGCAAGAUGGCAGCGGCAAACCCUGGCGGUUCUCCGGGUUCGUGGCAACCACGGAUGGGGAAAAUGUGGAGGUUGCACGGCUGAUGUUUACUGUUCAUGGCACAGGAAGAGGCAGUUUUAUUUCAGGAAUGAGUGAGCACAAUCAAAGAAUAGAGCGACUGUGGAGAGACCUCUGGGUGGCCAUUACAUGCUUUACUACGAUGUUCUUCACAACCUUGAGGAAGAAGACCUUCUUGACAUUUCAAAUGCUGCACACCUCUUUUGCUGCCAUUACGUCUUUCUUCCUCGACUGGAGGAUGAUUUUAAUACAUUUUGCAGUGGAUGGGACAACCAUCCACUGCGAACAGAAAACAACAUGAGUCCCAACCAGCUGUGGGAGUUGGGUCACAGAUAUCACCCUGUUCCUGUUCCAGAAAACACACAGCUUAUCACACAUUUGAUUUCCAUGUGUGACGACUGCAAGUGUCCAGAGUGAGGACAGACU